This 370-nucleotide ribosomal RNA is filed under the name uncultured organism. RNAcentral's name for it is "bacterial SSU rRNA". It matches the Rfam family "Bacterial small subunit ribosomal RNA", at positions 526 to 896 of the family's 1533-position model. The record is from RNAcentral.
CGUAGGGUGCAAGCGUUAAUCGGAAUUACUGGGCGUAAAGCGUGCGCAGGCGGUUUUGUAAGUCUGUCGUGAAAUCCCCGGGCUCAACCUGGGAAUGGCGAUGGAGACUGCAAGGCUAGAGUUUGGCAGAGGGGGGUAGAAUUCCACGUGUAGCAGUGAAAUGCGUAGAUAUGUGGAGGAACACCGAUGGCGAAGGCAGCCCCCUGGGUCAAAACUGACGCUCAUGCACGAAAGCGUGGGGAGCAAACAGGAUUAGAUACCCUGGUAGUCCACGCCCUAAACGAUGUCUACUAGUUGUCGGGUCUUAAUUGACUUGGUAACGCAGCUAACGCGUGAAGUAGACCGCCUGGGGAGUACGGUCGCAAGAUUA